UUGAUGAUUCUUAUUAUAUAUUGAUCAUGGCGCUGUUGUGUAAUGGUUCUUUCAUCGCUGUAUGUAGUAGCUAGCGUCGAGUUUAAAGAAAAGCAUAAAAUAAAAUGGUAAACACAGGAACAAAAGGGCACAACACAAUAUGAAAACCCGCAGAGCCUGACAGCUGCUGAGGCGUGGCUGCCUUUUAAUCCCGGUCUGUGUUACAAACCGGGACUAAAGAUCCUCCUGCUAGGCGUUCCACGGCGGCCACGUGGAGCUGUUUUAGUUCCGGUUCGUAAGAAAACCGGGACUAAAAAUUUGGGCAUUAGUUUCGAUCGUUUUGUCCCCGUUGCAGAACCGGGAUUAAAGGCAGCCACGCAGAGCUAUCUAGAGCUGAAAACUUGGAAAGCCGAAGGCACAACAUUACCCGAAGUGUUUGAGAGCUUCCAGAUGUCUCUUAUGCCCAUGAAUACCUGGGAAUCCCAGUGAAAGGGAUGAGGUAAUGAAUGGUAUUUGCUAGUGAAACUAAGCAAACCCUUUACUAGUGACAUGGGUUGAAGUAUAUGUAAUAUAUACAGGGUAUGUGCAACAUUUGGAAGCUGUGACGUGGGGCAUGCGUUAUAUCAAUGAAUCCUGGCAUACAAGAAAUGUUUAAUGCAACGGUAACUCAUGUGUCAGAUCUGAAAUGUCCGAGUGUUUUGUUGGGGCUGUUAGCUUUAAUCUUGAUUCGUGUAUGAGCAUGUUUAAUUUUAUGUUUGCAUGUACCUUAGCUUAGCAAGUUGUCCUCGGAUGAAGCAUCAGCUGAGCGUGUCAAGGAGACGAGAUGUCGGAGAUGGUCGUGCAAUGUGCACGAAAAAGGCGAGGCGCCGUGCCGCCAUGCGAGACGGCGAGGACGGCAAGAUGGUGAUGGCAGCGAGAGGCUGCACGCUGCGGCCGUGUGAU
Molecule: long non-coding RNA, 921 nt
Filed under: Hordeum vulgare
Lineage: Eukaryota; Viridiplantae; Streptophyta; Magnoliopsida; Poales; Poaceae
Description: long non-coding RNA (HVUL_LNC011354)
Source: RNAcentral